RNAcentral lists this transfer RNA (74 nucleotides) under archaeon. RNAcentral's name for it is "tRNA-Phe". It matches the Rfam family "tRNA". Rfam says of the family: Transfer RNA (tRNA) molecules are approximately 80 nucleotides in length. Their secondary structure includes four short double-helical elements and three loops (D, anti-codon, and T loops). The record is from RNAcentral. RNAcentral also lists the same sequence under 1 other name.
GGGGCCGUAGCUCAGCCUGGGAGAGCGCUAGACUGAAGAUCUAGGUGUCACGUGUUCAAAUCACGUCGGCCCCA